Molecule: long non-coding RNA, 1223 nt
Organism: Myiozetetes cayanensis
Lineage: Eukaryota; Metazoa; Chordata; Aves; Passeriformes; Tyrannidae
Exons: 3
Source: RefSeq, a predicted model, not a curated record
UGGGCACUGCUACCAGGCACUAUGGGUGUUCUGAAGGUCUAAGUGUCCUGUGUUGAUAUCACGGUCUCUGCUGAGCGGAUAUGUUACAAAGAAACUAAAAACUGUACUUUCAUUUUUAGACCUUCCUCACAAAACUCAACCCUGCUGCACUUUAGCCUGAUGUGAAGGAUCUGAAGGAUCAUCCAGUGCUGCAACUGAAUUUGUAAACUCCACAUAAAAACUUGUGUGAAAUGGGACAGGAGGAGUCUGCAGAGCAUAUCUAACUCCUGACCAAAUACGAUGUCCUGGAGCUCAGUUCAACACCGAUGGAAAUCUAAAUUUCAUCCACUCAAGAAACUUACAGCACUCAGUUCAAUCAACUCAAUUCAAUCAAUGUCUAAGAUCUCAAGCUUCAGUGGAUAAAGCCUCAAACAGACCUCAACACCUCUUUAAAAUGAGUACAGUGAUGAAACAGGUGUUUGACACACCACCUUUGUGCUCCUCAUCUGAACUUCUGUUGGGUGGCACGACUGGAUCCCUCCGUUCUUCUGGCAGUUUGGCAAACUGGGGCUCAGGAGAUACAUAAAAAAACGCUGCAGCAGUCCCCAGUUGAUGUUGCUCUCCAGAGUUGACACUCCUACCAUCAUGACACUCUUAUCAUCAGAUUGCAGCCUGGACAGUGGUGUUGCAAUUCACCAACAGAAAAUGAAAUUUCCCCUCAGCUUUCAAGUGGGGACCAAGCAUUGCUCAUCUUAGUUCAAUUACAGCAACUACUGAAAGAAGUACUGACUGCUGAGGCCUCUAAUUUCACCUUCACAUAAGCAACGUCUGAAAGAAGUCUCAAAAGAAAAGAGAGAAGAAUCAGGAUGUGGCCCAGAGGAUCUGCCCUCAGGAGACAAACAAGCAGAAUGUAAUUAUUUAAAAUUCAUCUUCACUUCCCUUGUCUGGCAGGUAGCAUUGCUGUUUGUUUCAUAUAUCAUAUGAUGCAACAAUUCCAGAAUGUUAUAAAUGACAGACUACAACGCAUUAUGAUGAAAGUUUAUUAGUAAUGUCAAAAUUUAGUUCACAGUGUUAAAGAGCUGUAGCACAGAGAUGCUUCAGAGGAAGCAAGAACAAAUGUGUCCUUUCUCUAUUCUGAAAACCUAGGAAUAUUUUAGUACUUUCAUUUCCAUUGAAUUUUGACAUCAUAUUGCACAGAAUAACUCAGGAAUAUUUUUCCUACUCCUUUCAAAGAGUGUACAUGA